UAUAUUGCGAAUUUGAUCCUAGUUUAGAAUUAACGCUAGAAAUAUACAUUACACAUGCAAAUUUAUGAUAAUAUCAUAGUGUAUAGGUGAGUAUAUAUAAAUUUUUAAUUUUAAAUAGAUUAUAAAUUUUUAUAAUAAUCUAUAUGCGCAUUUAUUUUUAUAAAAAAAUAAUAGUACUAUAUUAAAAAUUAUUAUUGUUUAAAAUAAAAUUUAUAUUUGAUUAACUAGUUGGUAUAAUAAAAAUUUACCAAGGUUAUAAUCAAAAAUUGAUUUUAAAGAAUGUACAAUCACAUUAGGAUUGAAAUAAAGCCUAAAUUUUUUUAUAAAAAAUCAGCAGUGAGGAAUAUUUUACAAUAAGUGUAAGCUUGAUAAAGUAAUAUUUCUUAAAGGAAGACAGUAUUUUAAAAAUAUUGUAAACUUUAUAUUUUAUUUUUAAAUAUUGAUAAAAAUAAAANNNNNNNNNNAAAAGCUUACCAAGGUUAUGAUCAAAAAUUGGUUUUAAAGAACGUACAAUCACAUUAGGAUUGAAAUAAAGCCUAAAUUUUUUUUUAAAAAAUCAGCAGUGAGGAAUAUUUUACAAUAAGCGUAAGCUUGAUAAAGUAAUAUUUCUUAAAGGAUGACAGUAUAUUUUUAUAUUGUAAACUUUAUAUUUUAUUUUUAAAUAUUGAUAAAAAUAAAAUAUUAGUAUUUGCUAAUUUCUGUGCCAGCAGCAGCGGUAAUACAGAAAAUACAAGCGUUAUUCACUUUAUUUGGCGUAAAGCGUUUUAAGGUUUUAUAUUAAUUUUAUUUUAAAAUAUUUAAUUUAAAUUUAAAUAAUAAAUAAAUAAUAAUAUAAUAAGAGUAUUAUAAAAGUAUUAAGAAUUUUUUGAGAAGUGGUGAAAUGCAAUGAUACAAAAAAGAAUACCAAAGGCGAAAGCAUAAUACUAUAUAAUAACUGACACUUAUAAACGAAAGCUAAGGUAGCAAAUAGGAUUAGAUACCCUAGUAGUCUUAGCUGUAAACUAUGAAUAUUUUAUAUUUAUAUAAAUAUAUAAAUAUAAUAACUAACGUAAUAAAUAUUCCGCCUGAGUAGUAUAUUCGCAAGAACGAAAUUCAAAGGAAUUGACGGGAGCUUAUACAAGUGGUGGAACAUGUGGCUUAAUUCGAUGCAACACGAUAAACCUUACCAAAAUUUAACAAUAUUUUUAGUAUUAAGUAAUUAAUAAUUUAAUAAAAUAUAUAGGUAGUGCAUGGCUGUCGUCAGUUCGUGCUGUGAAGUAUUAAUUUAAGUAUUAUAACGAACGUAACCUUUUAUAAAAUAAUUUUUUAUAAUAUAUUUAUUAUUAAUAUAUAAAAAAGAUUACGUCAAGUCAUUAUGCUCCUUAUAUUUUGGGCUGCUCACGUGUUACAUAAAAUAUAACAAUAUUUUAUUAUAUGAAAAUAUAAUAUAUUUAAAUAUAUUUAUAGUUCUAAUUAUAAAUUGAAACUCAUUUAUAUGAAGAUGGAAUCACUAGUAAUCGCUAAUAAGAAAUAUAGCGGUGAAUAAGUUCUUAAGCUUUGUACACACCGCCCGUCACAUCUGGAAAAUAUUAUAUUAUAUAAAAAUUAUUGUUAAAUAAUCAUAUAUAAUUAUAUAAUUUAGAUGAAGUCGUAACAAGGUAGCCGUACUGGAAGGUGCGGCUGGAUAAUAAUAUAA
Plasmodium ovale curtisi is the source of this 1675-nucleotide non-coding RNA. NCBI's taxonomy places the organism in Eukaryota, Apicomplexa, Aconoidasida, Haemosporida, Plasmodiidae. The record is from Rfam.